This 688-nucleotide ribosomal RNA is filed under the name Acinetobacter calcoaceticus. RNAcentral's name for it is "bacterial SSU rRNA". It matches the Rfam family "Bacterial small subunit ribosomal RNA", at positions 33 to 715 of the family's 1533-position model. Lineage: Bacteria; Pseudomonadati; Pseudomonadota; Gammaproteobacteria; Moraxellales; Moraxellaceae. The record is from RNAcentral.
ACGCUGGCGGCAGGCUUAACACAUGCAAGUCGAGCGGGGUGAUGGUGCUUGCACUAUCACCUAGCGGCGGACGGGUGAGUAAUGCUUAGGAAUCUGCCUAUUAGUGGGGGACAACAUUUCGAAAGGAAUGCUAAUACCGCAUACGUCCUACGGGAGAAAGCAGGGGAUCUUCGGACCUUGCGCUAAUAGAUGAGCCUAAGUCGGAUUAGCUAGUUGGUGGGGUAAAGGCCUACCAAGGCGACGAUCUGUAGCGGGUCUGAGAGGAUGAUCCGCCACACUGGGACUGAGACACGGCCCAGACUCCUACGGGAGGCAGCAGUGGGGAAUAUUGGACAAUGGGCGCAAGCCUGAUCCAGCCAUGCCGCGUGUGUGAAGAAGGCCUUAUGGUUGUAAAGCACUUUAAGCGAGGAGGAGGCUACUUUAGAUAAUACCUAGAGAUAGUGGACGUUACUCGCAGAAUAAGCACCGGCUAACUCUGUGCCAGCAGCCGCGGUAAUACAGAGGGUGCAAGCGUUAAUCGGAUUUACUGGGCGUAAAGCGCGCGUAGGCGGCUAAUUAAGUCAAAUGUGAAAUCCCCGAGCUUAACUUGGGAAUUGCAUUCGAUACUGGUUAGCUAGAGUGUGGGAGAGGAUGGUAGAAUUCCAGGUGUAGCGGUGAAAUGCGUAGAGAUCUGGAGGAAUACCGAUGG